Molecule: long non-coding RNA, 169 nt
Organism: Thalassophryne amazonica
Lineage: Eukaryota; Metazoa; Chordata; Actinopteri; Batrachoidiformes; Batrachoididae
Exons: 3
Source: RefSeq, a predicted model, not a curated record
CAGUAAUUCCAUUCAAAAAGUGAAACUUGUAUAAUGUAUAAUUCAUUCCACACAGACAGAUAUAUUUAAAGUGUUUAUUUCCUUUAAUUUUGACGAUUAUAACUGACAACUAAUGAAAACCCCAAAUUCAGUAUCUCAGAAAAUUAGAAUAUUAUUUAAUACCAAUACA